This 337-nucleotide unclassified non-coding RNA is filed under the name soil metagenome. RNAcentral's name for it is "partial contains 5.8S ribosomal RNA, internal transcribed spacer 2, and large subunit ribosomal RNA". The stretch from base 1 to 120 matches the Rfam family "5.8S ribosomal RNA", at positions 35 to 154 of the family's 154-position model. The record is from RNAcentral.
GAUGAAGAACGUAGCGAAAUGCGAUAAGUAGUGUGAAUUGCAGAAUUCAGUGAAUCAUCGAAUCUUUGAACGCACAUUGCGCCCCUUGGUAUUCCAUGGGGCAUGCCUGUUCGAGCGUCAUUUGUACCUUCAAGCUCUGCUUGGUGUUGGGUGUUUGUCUCGCCUCUGCGUGUAGACUCGCCUCAAAACAAUUGGCAGCCGGCGUAUUGUUUUCGGAGCGCAGUACAUCUCGCGCUUUGCACUCAUAACGACGACGUCCAAAAGUACAUUUUUACACUCUUGACCUCGGAUCAGGUAGGGAUACCCGCUGAACUUAAGCAUAUCAAUAAGCGGAGGA